RNAcentral lists this long non-coding RNA (1189 nucleotides) under Triticum aestivum (bread wheat). Its description in RNAcentral is "long non-coding RNA (TAES_LNC013980)". The record is from RNAcentral. Lineage: Eukaryota; Viridiplantae; Streptophyta; Magnoliopsida; Poales; Poaceae.
UCAUGGAAGAGGGAAAUAUGCUGCUAGAUACUGAUGUUGAUUGCAACGACUCCAUGACAUUGUAAGUUGGUUAAUGGAACAAUUUUGAGCUUACAUAUAUUAUGAUGACAUCUUUCUUGGAACUCGCAGUGGUAGAGAAUCUGUUGUUUGCAUAGGCAAAAAAUUAUAGAGGCCAACAUUGGCCAUAAUAUCCCCUUUCGCUUUGAGAACUGAUGAUGCAUAACAAGAGGCAAAUAUUUGUAGGCUCGAAACCAUGACCUUGGUCCUCUCUGCAGCCUCAGUAUUCAAAUUUAGAUUUUCUUUGUAAUAAGUCGGUAUUUUGCCACCUUAUAGAUGGCCUACCAUUAAGUAUCAUAUGCUCCAAAGCUAUAUUUUGUUGUCGCAUCGCUGCUUUAGUAUUCUUCGCUUGCAUAGCUAGAUCAACAGUGCAACUUACACCAGGGGCAAUCCAUGUGAGAUGACACCAUUGCUAAUACAUCUCCCAACGAGUUCACCUUUUCCCUCUCAUAUGGAAGCAGCAUACACCAUGGACAAUCUAUGUGCUGUCCCAGUAGGAAGUACUGAGCCCCCAACUAAAAUCGCCGAACAUUCAGUCUGAAUCAUAAACGGUGGACCCUUUCCUGGAUUCAUAAAUUUGGUCAGGUCGAGAGCGCAAGAUUUCGACUUUAGUUCUUGGAGAUGAUGAAAGAAUCUCAGUGCCUUUUAAUUAUUUACAUCUCAGUGCCCAACCCGAUUAUUAUCAGACUGUAAACUGUGUCUUUGAGUUGCGUGUAGGUUAUUUGAAUGUAUUGAAUUUCUACAGUAAUAUUAAGAUCCAAAUUACCAAUUUUUGUAGGUAACGAGGGGAUACCGCAAUGGACAAGGCAGAAAUCUUGUUCAGAGGGACAAUGCCCACGGGUGACUGCGGUGUGAGCUGGUGUUGUCCUGUCAUGGCAAUAGGGACGCAGAGGCAAGGUGGAGGCCAGAGAUGGCAUGGAGAAAAAUUAUGACGAGCAAAGCAGUGACAUUGUACAGUAACACGGUCAUGUGUGUGGCCUCUGCGCAGCAGCGACAGGUAGCCAUCGGAGCAAGGACAACGGCGCACACACAUGUUUAUGAUGCUGCUCGAGGCCACAGGGCCAACCAGGAUUUGUUAUUCCUUCAAAGUGAUAUGAAAACGAAGAUUCUACUUGUAUAACUAAAGUUUGAU